Molecule: ribosomal RNA, 253 nt
Filed under: uncultured bacterium
Lineage: Bacteria
Description: partial 16S ribosomal RNA
Rfam family: Bacterial small subunit ribosomal RNA
Source: RNAcentral
UACGUAGGGGGCUAGCGUUGUCCGGAAUCAUUGGGCGUAAAGAGCGCGUAGGCGGCCCGAUAAGUCCGCUGUGAAAGUCCAGGGCUCAACCCUGGAAUGCCAGUGGAUACUGUCGGGCUAGAGUACGGAAGAGGCGAGUGGAAUUCCUGGUGUAGCGGUGGAAUGCGCAGAUAUCAGGAGGAACACCAAUAGCGAAGGCAGCUCGCUGGGACGUUACUGACGCUGAGGCGCGAAAGCGUGGGGAGCAAACAGG